AUCGAGGCCGAGGGAGCUGGGGCCCAGCGUGGUCAGGCGCUGGUGCAGGCUGCUCUUGCGCUUGGGGCAGAAGUGGGCGUGGAGCACACUAAUUUAACAGGACAUGCAGAGAAGGUGGGGAUUGAGAAUUUUGAGCUCCUGAAGGUCUUAGGAACUGGAGCUUACGGAAAGGUGUUUCUCGUGCGUAAAGUCAGUGGCCACGACGCUGGGAAGCUGUACGCCAUGAAGGUUCUGAGGAAGGCCUCCAUAGUGCAGAAGGCCAAGAGCGCGGAGCACACGCGGACGGAGCGGCAGGUGCUGGAGCACGUCCGGCAGUCGCCCUUCCUGGUGACGCUGCACUACGCCUUCCAGACGGAGGCCAAGCUCCACCUCAUCCUGGAUUAUAUAAAUGGUGGAGAGCUUUUUACUCAUCUUUCUCAGAGAGAGCGCUUCACAGAGCGCGAGGUGCAGAUCUAUGCUGGAGAGAUCGUGCUUGCCCUCGGACACCUCCACAAGUUGGGGAUUAUAUACCGUGACAUUAAGCUUGAGAAUAUUCUGCUUGAUUCUGAUGGCCACGUGAUGCUGACGGAUUUUGGUCUGAGUAAGGAGUUUGUGGCUGACGAAGUGAGACUCUGCAUUUUCAGUAUUGAUUAA
RNAcentral lists this long non-coding RNA (633 nucleotides) under Capra hircus (goat). Its description in RNAcentral is "lncRNA (ENSCHIG00010007114.1)". Lineage: Eukaryota; Metazoa; Chordata; Mammalia; Artiodactyla; Bovidae. The record is from RNAcentral.